RNAcentral lists this ribosomal RNA (433 nucleotides) under uncultured bacterium. RNAcentral's name for it is "partial 16S ribosomal RNA". It matches the Rfam family "Bacterial small subunit ribosomal RNA", at positions 29 to 507 of the family's 1533-position model. The record is from RNAcentral.
AGCGAACGCUGGCGGCAGGCUUAACACAUGCAAGUCGAGCGGGCCCUUCGGGGUCAGCGGCGGACGGGUGAGUAACGCGUGGGAACGUGCCUUCUGGUCUGGAAUAACCCUGGGAAACUAGGGCUAAUACCGGAUACGCCCUUUUGGGGAAAGGUUUACUGCCGGAAGAUCGGCCCGCGUCUGAUUAGCUAGUUGGUGGGGUAACGGCCUACCAAGGCGACGAUCAGUAGCUGGUCUGAGAGGAUGAUCAGCCCCACUGGGACUGAGACACGGCCCAGACUCCUACGGGAGGUAGCAGUGGGGAAUAUUGGACAAUGGGCGCAAGCCUGAUCCAGCCAUGCCGCGUGAGUGAUGAAGGCCUUAGGGUUGUAAAGCUCUUUUAUCCGGGACGAUAAUGACGGUACCGGAGGAAUAAGCCCCGGCUAACUUCGUG